RNAcentral lists this ribosomal RNA (253 nucleotides) under uncultured bacterium. RNAcentral's name for it is "partial 16S ribosomal RNA". It matches the Rfam family "Bacterial small subunit ribosomal RNA", at positions 524 to 776 of the family's 1533-position model. The record is from RNAcentral.
UACGGGGGGGGCAAGCGUUGUUCGGAAUUACUGGGCGUAAAGGGCUCGUAGGUGGCCAACUAAGUCAGACGUGAAAUCCCUCGGCUUAACCGGGGAACUGCGUCUGAUACUGGAUGGCUAGAGAUUGGGAGAGGGAUGCGGAAUUCCAGGUGUAGCGGUGAAAUGCGUAGAUAUCUGGAGGAACACCGGUGGCGAAGGCGGCAUCCUGGACCACGACUGACGCUGAGGAGCGAAAGCCAGGGGAGCAAACGGG